GACGAACGCUGGCGGCGGGCUUAACACAUGCAAGUCGAACGGAAAGGCCCUGCUUGUGUGGGGUGCUCGAGUGGCGAACGGGGGAGGAACACGUGAGUAACCUGCCCUUGACUUUGGGAUAACUUCAGGAAACUGGGGCUAAUACCAGAUAGGAUCUCCUGCUGCAUUGUGGGGGGUGGAAAGUUUCGGCUGUUGGGGAUGGACUCGCGGGUUAUGAGCUUGUUGGUGGGGUAGGGGCUUACCAAGGCUUUGACUGGUAGCCGGCCUGAGAGGGUGACCGGCCACAUUGGGACUGCGAUAGGGCCCAGACUCCUACGGGAGGCAGCAGUGGGGAACCUUGCCCAAUGGGCCGGAGCCUGAUGCAGAAACGCUGCGUGUGGGAUGACGGCCUUCGGGUUGUAAAACGCUUUCGGCUGUGACGAAGCGUGAGUGACGGUAAUGGGUAAAGAAGCACCGGCUAACUACGUG
This 468-nucleotide ribosomal RNA is filed under the name uncultured bacterium. Its description in RNAcentral is "partial 16S ribosomal RNA". It matches the Rfam family "Bacterial small subunit ribosomal RNA", at positions 28 to 507 of the family's 1533-position model. The record is from RNAcentral.